UAACACCAGCGCCACGAGUGGGAACCACAUUUAUUGGGCCUAAAGCGUUCGUAGCCGGUCAUGUAAAUCUUUUGUGAAAUCGUCAGGCUUAACCUUACGGACUGCAGAAGAGACUGCAUGACUUGGGACCGGAAGGGGUCAAGAGUAUUUUUUGGGGAGCGGUAAAAUGCGAUAAUCCAGAAAAGACUACCUGUGGCGAAGGCGCUUGACCAGGACGGGUCCGACGGUGAGGAACGAAAGCUAGGGGAGCGAUCCGGAUUAGAUACCCGAGUAGUCCUAGCUGUAAACGCUGCGAGCAAGGUGUUGCACAUUUUACGCGAAUGUGCAGUGUCGAAACGAAGGUGUUAAGCUCGCCGCCUGGGGAGUACGGUCGCAAGACUG
This 381-nucleotide ribosomal RNA is filed under the name uncultured Halobacteria archaeon. RNAcentral describes it as "bacterial SSU rRNA". It matches the Rfam family "Archaeal small subunit ribosomal RNA", at positions 471 to 851 of the family's 1478-position model. The record is from RNAcentral. Lineage: Archaea; Methanobacteriati; Methanobacteriota; Halobacteria.